UGUUUUGCUCAGCCCUCACCAUUUUCUGCUCCAAAGAGGAGUUUCAAAUGCACAUUGAUCUUUCUCAUUUAGUGAAUGAACUGAAUUAGCACCUGUUUUCAACUGCCAAAAAAUGCACUUUUAUUUUUUUUUUUAAAUGGGGAAAGAGAAGUCUGUGUGCUGUUAAGUCAACAUGGGAGGUAUGUUUUGUUUUGUUUUCCCUACUUUCUUCAAAAGAACUUAACCAGAAAGGAACAAGAGGAAGCGGAUUCUCCCUUUUGGCAGAAACCUGCAGUCACUUGGGCUGUAACUGGGAUAUCCCGGUGAAGCGGUCAGGUCCUGGCGGAUGUAUCAGCGCCCACGCAGAAAAAAAACACCAAAAUGUGUUUGCCAAACUAACGGAGGAAGCCCCUCCCUCCAAGGACAGUUGGAGAUCUGAUAGAGCACUUGCCGGGCAUGCACAUACCCUGCUCAAAACCAGCACGAGGGCGUUGGGGGCAGGGGUUGAAGAGUUCAACUAUGAAGGUGUAAAGCCUUCACCCACGAAAAGAGGUGCCAAAGGCGGUGCUAAAAGACAAGGAUGACUUUGCAUUUAGAGAUGGUGACACUCUUGGGACGUACAUAGACUAAAGCAAAUGACUGCUGAAGCUGCCAUCCAUGCAGUUCUGAAAGCUCUCAGCAUGUACAUGAUCCCCAGGCCUCUCUUUUAGAACCCACUGAUAUCUAAUCUAAUAAUAAUAGGAAUUGAAAAGAUAAAGCUCUGCGUGCUGCGCCCUGCCCCCGCCUGGAAGGGGCGGAGUCUCGGUCCCAGGUUUCCCUGGGGACUGUGCCCAGGUCUAGUGUGGAGGAGGCCUGGGAGCGAGGUCAAGCCUCUGCGGAGCCCGGUGUUCCGGAGCUGGACUGUGAGGCUCGGCUCGGGGCAGAGGAUGCAGAACAUGAACUGUUCCACUUUCCAGCUAAUAUUUGAGCACCUGCUGUAUGUGAAGUGUCGCCCAAGAAUAAGACAAGGUCCUGGCCCUCGUGGAACCCGUGGUCUCGUGGUCUCGACAGAGAAGGCAGACGUCAGACUAAACGUGUGAAUUUAUGAGUUAGGCCAUGGAGUCUGGGGAGCAGGGGAAGCGCCUGUGUGUGGAGGCAGUUGGGGUGAAGUGGCCCCAGGCCACCCAAGGGUCUCUAGGCAGCAGAACACGCAGCCAAGGGAAAGGGACAAGGGCCCUGGGGCCGAGUGCCCUGGGCUGUUAGGGCAGAGCAAGGCAGGGCAGGGCGGUGAGCAGGGCUGGAGCAGGAGCAAAUGGGCAGGACUAGAUCCGAAAGGCUGGACCUGGUGAGCCCUUCCUGGGGACUCUGCUAGGAAAAUGGGACAGGCCCCUGGGGGGUCGCGGGGAGGGGCGACAGGCACCUGAGUGCUGCCCUUUUCCCUCCCACCCAUUGCCACGGCCUCUGUUUUCAGUGUGGUGGCCCCAUGAGGACACCCAGGUGUCCAUCCCUAGCAGGGCCUUUCCUGAUUGUCACCUCCCGUGUCCAGCAGCUCCCUGGACAGCUGCCCUCUCCGUACAUCCAGACACCUGGAAGUUUCUCAAGCUCAGCGCCACCCACCAGGAGCACCACAGCCUCGCCCACCAGUCCGCUCCUCCACAGGCUUCCCAGUCCCAACCCAGGAAAUUCAGGAUUUACUGGCUCAGCCUCAAAGCCUCAGUUAGCCUCAACUGCCUCCUCCUGUGUCCAUUCCACAGCAAAACCCCGCUGACUCUGCUUCAGAGGGGGCCAGAACCCCGAGGGCGAGGCCACUGGCUUUUCUCUUUCCAUAUCUGUCCCCUUUUCCAUUUGUUCUUUUUCAUCCUGUGUCUCGGCUUCUCGCUGGUGCUGGAGAGGGAACCACUCUCCCUAAGACACGCCCAGCCUUCCUUUGCCUUCCCAUGCACCCAGGCUGGCCUCAGGCUCCUGGCUCAGGCUGGCCUCCUGCUCCAUCAUUUUUUUUUUUUUUUUGGCA
Urocitellus parryii (Arctic ground squirrel) is the source of this 1969-nucleotide long non-coding RNA. RefSeq lists it as uncharacterized. The record is from RefSeq and is a predicted model, not a curated record. Lineage: Eukaryota; Metazoa; Chordata; Mammalia; Rodentia; Sciuridae.